UUACAAAUAUGAUGUUAAUUGUCUUCUAAUUGUUGUAAAAAUAAUUCUUAAAAUUUUAAAUCAAAAGUUACCUACAUCUGAAAAAAUAAGUUACGGACAGUCUGCUUAGUUUCGAUCAAAAAGUUACGGACGUCUUAUGCAUUUUUUAAAGUUGGCCUUGCGCUUUAGUGAACUCUAUAUUAACAAAUUUAUGGUAAUUGUUAGUUAUUUCUUUAUUCAAUAAUCCUAUAAAUAUUUACAUUCUGCAUGAAAAACGUCGCAAAAGGUACAUUUUGUAUGAAUUAAAUAUCAACGAGUUUAGAGUCCGCCAUCUUGGGCUGUGGGUAACUUAAGUUACCCACAGCCGUUUAAGCACAGUGUACAUAUG
RNAcentral lists this long non-coding RNA (367 nucleotides) under Mytilus galloprovincialis (Mediterranean mussel). The record is from RNAcentral. Lineage: Eukaryota; Metazoa; Mollusca; Bivalvia; Mytilida; Mytilidae.